This 185-nucleotide non-coding RNA is filed under the name Cyanobacteria bacterium M5B4. RNAcentral describes it as "6S RNA". It matches the Rfam family "6S / SsrS RNA". From Rfam's summary of the family: E. coli 6S RNA was the first non coding RNA to be sequenced, but its function was unknown until recently. It consists of 184 nucleotides that fold into an extended hairpin structure with a large single-stranded internal bulge. The 6S RNA specifically associates with RNA polymerase holoenzyme containing the sigma70 specificity factor. The record is from RNAcentral. Lineage: Bacteria; Bacillati; Cyanobacteriota. RNAcentral also lists the same sequence under 1 other name.
GCCUCUCUGUGGCGUUGGUGACUACCUAAAAUGUUUUUUGAUCUAUGACAGUUUUUUAAGGGAACUAUCUUAAUCUAGCGGCAGUAUACCAAUAGCAAAUAGUUGGAAACUUUAAGUUAGAGUGAAAGCGCCCACCUGGUUUACCAGGAUCAAAAACUGCGGUAAGACGGCGUUGCGGAGGGGUU